UCCAACCCGAGACCUAACUGAGAUGACCCAAAUUGAAAUCGAACUGGUAAUGAAUUGACCCGAACUGGAAUGACCCGAGUCAAAGUCUACCCGACCCAAAGUUACCCGACCCGGGUUUCACCCGACAAAACCCGUUUAGAACCCGACACGGGAUCACCGGGACCAUUUUUUACCCGAACCGAACUUGACCCGACUUGAAAUUUACCCGAACCCGACAACAAUUGACCUGAAAUUGACCCGAACUGAAUAGACCCGAUCCAAACCCGAUCUGAUCCUGAUAACUUUUGACCCGAACUUGACCCGAACCGGAUAGACCCGAACUGUCAUGGAUCAACCCACAACCCAUCCGGUAACCCGAUUUGACACCUCUAAUUCCACCUAUACUUCACUUCUCUUUCGCUUCUGUUUUUCUGAUUCUAAGGGGAAAAAUGAAAAAACUUAUAAUAAUAAUAUAUGUUUCGUGUUUAAUUAUAAUUGAUCAUCAUGGGCAUGACUAUUGGGCGAUCUAGUCGGGAAAAAAAAAAAGUGCUCAUCCAAUAAAUCAAUCUCCUUUAAUUCUCUUUUCUAUUUUCAAAGAUUUUAUUUUCCAAUAGAAGUGUUAAUUGUGAUAAUUAUUCCUCUCCUAGAAAUCCUCCGAUCAUUUGAUUUUCUUGACUUAAUUGCUUCCCUCCGUUUUUGUCGAGAAAGUGGAAAGGUAAAGUUGUGAAGGUUGCCCAAGAGUCUAUACAUGUGUGUUGUUCUUGGAUUUAAUUUUCAGCUGCCAUUAUAACACAGGAAGACAUUCGUGAUGAGUUUAAAUUUAAGAUUAAAAGCGGGGAAGAAAUGUUGCGGAGCUCAUCACAUAAGAGGCAUAUAAUUAAAGUUGGAACGCUUCUUAGUCAAGAGGCAUAUAAUUAAAGUUGGUACGCUUCUUAGUCAAGAGGUGAGACAUUAUUCUUUUGGCCACUCAAAAGAUAAACUAGUACUAAAGUGAUAACUUGUUUUCAAAUCUAUACUCAAACAUUGUUGUGAGGCCGGCAGCUAUGUGAUGGAAGUUAGUAUAUUACUGCUACUAAGCUACCUUAACUGCCUGUAUUAUACAGAAAAAACGAAUGAAAGUAGCUGUCUAUACUAUCUCAAAGUUAAGCAGAAUGAUAUUGUCCAUAAACUUGUAUCGUUACCUUAAUUGUUUCUGAGCUGACCUUUACUGACCUAAAAAGUUUAGCUGAUACUUAUUAAAACGAGUUUUCCCAUGGAUGCACGAAGAUGAAUUUGGAUGCGGGUAAUGGUACUACAAAGAUUGGGGAUCAUGACAAAUUGCAACCUAAAAAUAUUGACACAUCACACAUGCAUAUUAAGUAUAUGCAAAACUUACUUUCUUAAUCUUGCAGAACAUUUUUUAAUCCAUUACAUUGGUGUUCAAUGUCCUUGAUUCUACCGAGUACUGGAAGCAUUCACUGGCAAGCAUCUUUAACCAACAGGCAACAGGCAACAGGCAACAGGCAACAGUUCCAGGAAGCGGAGAGGAAAUGAAGGAAUAAAGGAGUUGAGUACUGGAACAAUUGACGGAGUUGCAAUUUCUAAUGAUUAUCAUGUGUUGAAGAAAUCAAAGAAACAAAGAGUUCGUUAAGGAUCCUAAUGGAUGCAUUAGCCAUUAGGGUUUAAAUUAAAGAUUCCAACAAGUUCAUGAUUGGUAACACUAACACAGUCAUGUAUUCCAAGUAGGCAGGAAACGAGUUCAAGGGUAAAGAUGCAUCUGACUACAUAAUGCUUAGGGCGUCUGACGUUAUGGCUGUAUAAUCGCCGUAUCCUGAAACUAUGUAAAAGGAAUGUGUUUUAGGUCGUAAUGAUUUUUGUAGCAACAUGAGUAUUGAGUCUGGAAGUUUUCUGGAAGUGUUCAUAUAGCUUGCAAUUUUGAUUGUUGCUAGCUUUAUGUAUUCUCGGGCCUGAAAAUUGGGUCAUUUGAAACACGGAACACGGGUUCUAAAUUUGAGGGCUGGGCUCAAAGUCAUGAUGAGUAGGCAGUAGUCAUGCAUUUGUUUAGUAUAUGAGCAUUAGAAUCCCUGUAGAGAUGGACGUACACAGCCAUGGGGCGUUCGCAGGGUUAGGGCUUAGGUUUAUGGAACCAGCACCUCAUCAAAACUAGACCUGUGAGGCCAUGUUUAAGGAAUUUUAACAUGUCCGGGGUAAUUCUUGUUCAAGGCCCAGAAUUUUUGAGCUCGGGUCGAACCUACAUGUGAGAUUUUAAAAUGCAGAUUUUCAUGGGGACUCUUAUUAUCUUGUACAUUUGUAUAUUCCACGCUAUCUUUUCAUUAUUGUUUAGUAAAUAAAUUAUUGUCAAGAUUACUUUUGAUUUAAACAAUUUAGUUCUUCACACUUAAAAUUAAUUUAAGACCUCUAGACAUUUUUUUUAAGAUAAUAAGACCUCUACAUUUAGAUAUAAUGUAAUGAAAUUUUUUAGUCUAACUACCAGGCUUAGGUAUGGAGGUAACGGCUUUAGAAUUUGGAACAAGGUGUUUUUUUGGGCGGGCUUUGUUCCCUGCUACUUCGUUUGAUUUAAUUCGGCCAAGUGGUACCUCUUUUGCUACAAAUUUUAUGUAAGACGGUCUUACACAAAAGACCAUUUUGGUGUCAUAUAAGUUAAGCAAUGGUAUAAAUUAGUUAAAUAAUGUAACUAUUAGUUAAGCAAUGAAACCAAUUAGUUAAGCAAUGAAACUAAUUAGUUAAGCAAUCAAACCGAUCUUUUUGGUAAGACGGUCUUACACAAAAGUUGUCCCUCUUUUGCACAUUUUGUGGAUGUUGUAGUUUAUUAAUAUAUUCUCAAAUCUAAACGUUUAUGUUAAAAAAAACAUUUAGAUAUAAUGUUAUUUUAUUAUUUUAUCACCUUGAGCCUUAAGUUGAGUCUUAAUUUUAGAUUUUGUCAAGACUUGCCACUUCAACGUUGUAAAUUAUGUUGUCUUGUCUUAAGAUUACGCGGGACAUAUGCCAUGUUAGCAAAAUCUAAGUUUUAAGACUUAUGGUUGAUCUUGCUCUAACAUAUUUUCGUACACAAGUUUAUAUUUAGUCAAAUUCAAUCAUUAAAUGAUGUAUAAA
This is a long non-coding RNA of Spinacia oleracea (spinach), 3072 nucleotides long. RefSeq lists it as uncharacterized. The transcript is spliced from 4 exons. NCBI's taxonomy places the organism in Eukaryota, Viridiplantae, Streptophyta, Magnoliopsida, Caryophyllales, Amaranthaceae. The record is from RefSeq and is a predicted model, not a curated record.